RNAcentral lists this ribosomal RNA (700 nucleotides) under Phytophthora colocasiae. RNAcentral describes it as "eukaryotic LSU rRNA". It matches the Rfam family "Eukaryotic large subunit ribosomal RNA", at positions 87 to 612 of the family's 3401-position model. Lineage: Eukaryota; Oomycota; Peronosporomycetes; Peronosporales; Peronosporaceae. The record is from RNAcentral.
CGGCGAGUGAAGCGGGAAGAGCUCAAGCUUAAAAUCUCCGUGCAAGUUUUGUGCGGCGAAUUGUAGUCUAUAGAGGCGUGGUCAGCGUGGGCGCUUGGGGCAAGUUCCUUGGAAGAGGACAGCAUGGAGGGUGAUACUCCCGUUCAUCCCUGAGUGGCUCGUGCGUACGACCCGUUUUCUUUGAGUCGCGUUGUUUGGGAAUGCAGCGCAAAGUAGGUGGUAAAUUCCAUCUAAAGCUAAAUAUUGGUGCGAGACCGAUAGCGAACAAGUACCGUGAGGGAAAGAUGAAAAGAACUUUGAAAAGAGAGUUAAAGAGUACCUGAAACUGCUGAAAGGGAACCGAAUCGUUUCCAGUGUCUAUAAUCUGUGGCAUAUUUCAUUGGCGAGCGUUUGCGUGCGUGUGCUGUGGCAGUGGCUUUUUUGGCUGCGCCUGGUGUGUGUGGUGUGAGUGUUUGCUGGUGCCCUGUGCUGCGGUGGGACGUCAAGGUCAGUUCGUAUGCUGCGGGAAAUGGCUGCCGAGGAGGUAGGGCUUACGCUCCGCGUUUGUCUGUUAUAUCUUGGUGGACGAGUCGUCGCGGUUGGGACUGAGGUGCCUACAACGUGCUUUUGAGUGGGUUUGUGUCUCCGUGUGCGCCCGUGUGCGGAUAGCUUGCUAUGCGUGUGUGGUUGUGUGUGGAUUGAUGCGGGCCUUAAACUUGUC